GUUUGCUUCUGUGCUUGUUAAGCUCAGUCUCUUGGAUUGUUUUUGAAUUAUGUUUUGCCCAUCUUGCAGUUCCAGGAUCUGUUUAUGCUGCUGAUUACCAAACUUUCACUGCUCAAUCAAUGACCAAAGUUGAUGAUUGAGUCAUUUUGCAAGAUUCCAGGAUGUCAAGUGUACAAGAACAAACUCAUUAUAACGAUGUUAUGAGUAGUGACAGUGAGGAUGAUGAUGUUGAGAUGGUAGAUCCUUUGGAUGGCUCUACAACUGUUAAUUUCGGUGUGACACCGAGUCACUGACUGUUGAAUCUGUAUUUCUGUAAUCUGUUUCUGUUGAUUGAAUUGAAUGGAAAAUGUCAAAUGAA
Papaver somniferum (opium poppy) is the source of this 358-nucleotide long non-coding RNA. RefSeq lists it as uncharacterized. NCBI's taxonomy places the organism in Eukaryota, Viridiplantae, Streptophyta, Magnoliopsida, Ranunculales, Papaveraceae. The transcript is spliced from 2 exons. The record is from RefSeq and is a predicted model, not a curated record.